RNAcentral lists this ribosomal RNA (216 nucleotides) under uncultured prokaryote. RNAcentral describes it as "partial 16S ribosomal RNA". It matches the Rfam family "Bacterial small subunit ribosomal RNA", at positions 524 to 739 of the family's 1533-position model. The record is from RNAcentral.
UACAGAGGUGUCAAACGUUGUCCGGAAUUACUGGGCGUAAAGGGCGCGUAGGCGGCCUUAUAAGUCAUUUGUGAAAGCUCUGGGCUCAACCCAGGAAUUGCAAGUGAUACUGUAAGGCUUGAGUUCGGUAGAGGAGGGCGGAAUUCCAGGUGUAGCGGUGAAAUGCGUAGAUAUCUGGAGGAACACCCGUGGCGAAGGCGGCUCUCUGGUCCGAAA